AGCCCGGUCCAGAGCAGGACCCGAGAGCCGGCGGGGCGCAGCCGGACUGGCAGCCGCUGCUGCUGCUCGUGCUGCCUGCGGGCGCUGCGCGGGGCCGCCUCUGCUUCCGCCCGGGCCAGACCUGCCACCGGCCCCUGCGCCGGGACCCGCUGGCUCCGCGGGGGCGCAGCACAUACCCCCGGCCUCAUGUGUACCUGUCGCCAGCGGAUCUGCCCAAGAGCUGGGACUGGCGCAGUGUGGGUGGUGUCAACUAUGCCAGCAUCACCAGGAACCAGCACAUCCCCAGGACUGCGGCUCCUGCUGGGCCCACGCCAGCACCAGCGCCAUGGCGGAUCAGAUCAACAUCAAGAGGAAGGGUGCGUGUCCCUCCGCCCUCCUGUCUGUGCAGCACGUCACCGACUGCGGUGACGCUGGCUCCGGUGAAGGGGGCAACGACCUGCCUGUGUGGGAGUACCCCACCGGCACGGCAUCCCCGAUGAGACCUGAACAACUACCAGGCCAAGGACCAGGAGUGUGACAAGUUUAACCAAUGUGGGACAUGCAAUGAAUUCAGAGUGCCAUGCCAUCCGGAGCUACACCCUCUGGAGAGUGGGAGACUACGGCUCUGUCUCUGGGAGGGAGAAGGUGAUGACAGAAAUCUACGCAAAUGGUCCCAUCAGCUGUGGAAUAAUGGCAACAGAAAGGGUGGCUAACUACUCCGGAGGCGUCUAUGCCCAAUACCAGGGCACCACCUUCAUAAACCAUGUCGUUUCCGUGGCUGGGUGGAGUGUCAGCGAUGAGACUGAGUACUGGAUU
RNA transcript from Sapajus apella (tufted capuchin), 795 nucleotides. It is a transcript of the gene named cathepsin Z pseudogene, with no coding region annotated. The transcript has a single exon. NCBI's taxonomy places the organism in Eukaryota, Metazoa, Chordata, Mammalia, Primates, Cebidae. The record is from RefSeq and is a predicted model, not a curated record.